Long non-coding RNA from Cygnus atratus (black swan), 3118 nucleotides. RefSeq lists it as uncharacterized. Lineage: Eukaryota; Metazoa; Chordata; Aves; Anseriformes; Anatidae. The transcript has 4 exons. The record is from RefSeq and is a predicted model, not a curated record.
CCAGGUAUGAUUUCCAAACCACAGGGCAAAGCCAACAGUUUUUCCCUUCUUCUUGAAUAAAAGAAGUGGUGUUGAUAAGUUUAGUUGUCUUCCCAGGUGGGUUGGUCAUGCAUCAUUUACCUUCUGGCAACUCCUUCAGCUGUUGCAAACCCUCUUUAUUAAUUAUCACUCUGAUUAAUUGAUUUUACCAUUACUGAUUGAAUUAUUGAUUGGCAUCUUUGGCCUUUGUCUGACCUUGAGAGGGAGCUAGAGAUGCAGCAGUAAGACAUCACAUAACUUACACAAAAUAGUGCCUCAACAUAUAGUGACCAGAUAGUCUCUGCUCAGGGGGCCUGUCACAACUGGGACAGGAUAUUUAUCCUGAAAGGAGAUAGGAAGCCUUCAUAAUUACUAACUGUGGAUAUAUGAUCUUUCUACCAGCCUCCUACAACUGCCUUUUAACUGUUUAUAUAAUGCCUUCACUAGCUGAAGCAAGUCUUCUGGAGGGCAUUUCUUCAGUCAAAGAAAAGCCAGCUCUGUAAGGCUGACUCUGGGUCUCACUAAUACAGCCAUAUCUGGAGCUAAUUUGUUAAGUUUCAGUUCCUCAGCAUGUGGAACUUUGUGCUAAAGUCUGCUAAAUUUGCCAAAUGUGGUCUUCAUUGUCAUCCGUGUAAUUUUAUAUAUGCAUUUUUCAGCCUUAAAAUUACAGUAUUAACUUUAAAAGUUAGUUGCAAAAUUAUGCAGGCCCGAAUGGAAGUGGGUUUGAAUUUUUUCCCAGUAGCUUUAAAUGUACGUGCGUAGUGGAGGUAGACAGCCUUAAGUGAAAUGACUUACUAGCCUAACCUCUGCAUCUUCAAAGACAGAAGACUUUGAAGCCCAUGCAAGGAAAUGGCAUAUGUGGUAGUAAACUUGGAUGGUAAACAGUCAGAAGUGCAGCUAAAGAAACCUGGACUCUGAUUCCUGGACUGAUUCCCAUAGCUCUGGGAAGAAAAUCUUCAUGUCAGUCACUCAACAUUUCAACACGGAACUGCUUUGCUUCUCUUGGCACUAAGGAGGAUCACCUUCAAAAUGUUCCAAAAGUAGCUUCCAGGAAAUCAUCCUUACUACCACAAUCUACAUAGUACAUUCUGGUGAAUAAGGAUCUUCCUGGAUUUCUCCAGCAACUUGAGGUUAUUUAAAUAAAACAAAUCUUCCUGCACAGAGGCAGAGAGUCUCCAAGGUAUGUGUUGUGUCAACUAAACAGAUUCAAGAAAGCUGAAGUUUCUAGAAGUGCAUCUAUUAACUUCAAGAUCUACAAGCACAUAAGAACUCAGUAAGAUCUGGGCCAUCAUAGUUAGUUCCCCAACUUCUUAUCUGUCCCUGGUGCAGACAACCACAAUGCACAUAAUUGCCAUUUUAGUGAAAUUGUUCUCAUGCUCAAGUUUAAACUUCUCAGAUGCAUGACUUGCUGCCAUGACAUUCUGCAGGAAGAAACACCUCUGGAGCAAAUCUGCCUCCUUGGAACUAGCCUGAAUGACUCAGUUGAGCUGUCAGCAGUUUGGUCUAGCAGCUGGUUACAAGUGAUAUCUCCUUGAAGAUGGUAACAAGGUUAGAACUAUUUUUAAGUCAUAAAACUUAAAGAGGACACUAUCAUGAGGUUCAGCAUGGGGAAGUUGGCUGAUACACUGGAGGAGAGCAGGACUACUUCUUAGUACUCAAGUACCCUGGAGGACCAGUUCAAAAACAACCUCCUGAUGUUCAAAGAAAUCAGAAAUUGUGUGCCCAGGGGACAACCACAGAGCAACUGCAUGCAUUGCAAAGUAGAGGCCAGCUGCAGACUGAUCUGGCAGCUGAGGAGAACCCAAGGGCAUAACUAGAAAGCAAGUUGAGAAAGAGUCAGCCACGUGCCCUUGCCCCAGCAAUAGUUAUGUGCCUACAAGACUGCAAAGAGUGAGAACAACCAACAGACCAAAAUGGACCAAGGAAGUGACAAAGUUCUACACCAGCUGCUAAUAUAACCAUAGAAGACAAGAGACUUCCAUCAGAUUUACCACUUGAACUAGCUUUCAUCUAUGCUAAAGGGUAGAAAGUAAGCAAAAGGAACAGGGGGUGAGUACAUUGAAGUUUAAAUAAAGAUAACUACUAUUUCUGAUGAACUUUGACGUAGAUUAGGGAGGGCCAUAAGUAACAGAGAAAAUUGCUUCUAUACAACCUUCAUUAUUUCUUAGAAAUGUGCCAAGGCAGUGUUCUUAAUGAAACCUGAUGCCAGACGGGGAAACUCAUCCAGUUUCUCAUCUAGAUAAGUGUCUCCUUAACAUGUAGUAUUUGUUUCUUUCAUCUGAAGUGGUGUGCGGCAGAACAAGAAUUCUACUAGUUAUUUAAAAAAUAAAGGUAAUGCUUAGUAUACAGCCUGGUUUUGGUUGACAUUGGCAGGUCACUUCCACUGGCUUCCGUGGCAAAAAUGGAAUAAUGCUCCCUUCCCACAGAGGAACAAUUGUCAAGAUUUCCAAACAAUUUCAAUCAUUCGUCAAUGUUAAAUACUACUUUAAGUUAUUUAUCACGACUAAUUACAACACCAAAUUUUCCUUGUAAGGUAUUGACAUCAAAGCAAUAUAGGGGAUCAAUGUUAGCAUUGACAUAACUACUUUGAAACUAACCAACAUGCAAUAGGUAUAAUUUAUAAUUUACCCCUUACGUGAAGAAAAUAAAAGACUAGGACCUAACUUAUUCCCUGCAUAGAUUAUAAGACUGGAGAUCAAGUCUUACCAGAUCUUCAUGUAACACACUCUCACCAGUCAAGACAGAAGUGUCAAUGGGCUUUCACCACAUUUUCUUUUAAAGUUAAAGCAAACAAAUAUUCCAGAAGGCAGUUACCUCAAUAAGUAGUGAGAGAAUAUAUUACUAUGGCAGAGACAUGUGGCAAGCUAUCACCUCUCUCUCCAAUUUUAAGGAGAGAGAAGGGAAUGACAGGAAACGGGCAGAAGUUUCAUGCAUUUGCAUCCAAUUGCAGCAAGAUUUUUAAAAAACAAAAUAUCAACAUGGCAUUUCUAAGAAAAACCCAUGGACAAAAUUGGGGGGGAGUUCCAUUACGAAAACUUGCAACUCAAACAAGAAUUAUAUUACAUUUAUUUUUCAUAUAUUGUUAUUCUCUCCUAUUCUC